This is a long non-coding RNA of Lolium rigidum, 1507 nucleotides long. RefSeq lists it as uncharacterized. NCBI's taxonomy places the organism in Eukaryota, Viridiplantae, Streptophyta, Magnoliopsida, Poales, Poaceae. The record is from RefSeq and is a predicted model, not a curated record. The transcript is spliced from 2 exons.
UUCUUUCCCUUUGCUAAAUCAUGGAAAUCACUCCUAAUUUGCAGGUUUGUUUCUAGAUGCACGUAUAUAUGAUGAUUGUGUCUGCCUUUUCUUCUUUUUCUUGAUACCAUGUGUAGUAUUUAUUAGAACUGGAACGUUGGGCCCUAAUUCUCUUUGGUGGAUUGCCAUCAUCAGACAGGGCUUGUGCAUGAACAAUGGUGAACAACGUUUUUGUUUUUGCAGAUGCCAAGGCAGUACAAUUUUUCUUGUGACAUUCCAACUUAUAGGAGUUAAAAGAAAGUAAAAAAAAACUUGUAGGAGUUAAAAGAAAGUAGGAUUAAAGGCAUGUCUUAUUUGUCAAAAGACUAAUGCACUUUAAAUCAGUUCAACUGGCUAAGAACAUCUGACUUAUGUGGCCUACUCGAUUUUUCCAGUGUUCUUGGAUUGCUGACAAUGCUCAAUUUCCUCUAAACAUAAAUCUGUACUGGAUUUUUUUUCUAAGCUAUUAAUAUAUGCUAUUAUGACUGUAGUGUAAUUUCUCCAAAAAAAAAUAACUUUCCUGGUUACUUAAGCUUAGAUAAAGGAGGGUCCCAAUGGAGAAGGAGCACGGUGGAAAUGAAAAUACUAAGGAGGAGAUAUCACCGGAGCACCAAGACAACAAAGAACUGAGCUUUGCAGUAGUUCAUAGUGCCAAUCCGAGUGGAUUUUAUCAUUGCGUGAUACAACCAUUGAAUUCACCAGUUGACAAGAAUUAAUUAAGUUAUCUUUACUAUUAUAUUGUUGUCCGUACGUCAUCAAAAAUGUUUGAUGUCAAACAUCAGGAGAAUCAAGGCCGCACAAGCACACCCUCUCAACGUUAACCAUGUUGGACCGUCGGAUGGAUUUCUGAGUACUUCACCCCCUCCUGGUUGUUAGCAUUAAGUCUAAUUUACAGCCAUGUCUUCUUUGGGAUUACCUUUGUCUUCUAUAACAUCAGGUUUUGAGAUGUUAUAUUAUUUUUUACCAGUAAAUAAUACUUUUCUGGAAUUACAUCAUUAUGACAAACAAAUUUAUUUUUUUACCAGUGUGAAUAGGUUCUUGACUGCUUGCUCACGAGUUCUUCUUUGUUUAUAGUUUUCAUAAACUUCGUCCAGGAGCAGCAAGGCAACAUACAGCAGAUUGUCCACAAGGUCGUAUGCAGUUACCUUGCAAAUUGCAAAGCAUAUUGCCGAUUGUAAAGGUUAGAAUGAGAGUUAGCAGAAAUGCUGAUAGCAUUGGUCAAGAGAUUCAACAAUGUAAUCGUCUUGCUACGAACACCUGAGUCCUUCAAAUUUUCCCCUGGUAAAUUAUUUUAGUGUAUUUUUGGGGGAAAUUAAUGUGCAUGAAUUAAUAUAGAUUAGUUUUCAGUUGGGCUGAUUUGAUGUAGUUGUAUUAACGGUACUCUAUGCGUGGCUGUCUCCAUGUUAUUUUCUUGAAUUAAGAUGCGAGUAUCAUUUGCACUAUGGACUAUCCCAUUUUCAGAAGCAAAAUUACAUGAAAAUCCUUGUGA